RNAcentral lists this ribosomal RNA (156 nucleotides) under Gjaerumia minor. RNAcentral describes it as "5.8S ribosomal RNA". It matches the Rfam family "5.8S ribosomal RNA". From Rfam's summary of the family: 5.8S ribosomal RNA (5.8S rRNA) is a component of the large subunit of the eukaryotic ribosome. RNAcentral also lists the same sequence under 2 other names. The record is from RNAcentral. Lineage: Eukaryota; Fungi; Basidiomycota; Exobasidiomycetes; Georgefischeriales; Gjaerumiaceae.
CAACUUUUGACAACGGAUCUCUUGGUUCUCCCAUCGAUGAAGAACGCAGCGAAAUGCGAUAAGUAAUGUGAAUUGCAGAAUUCAGUGAAUCAUCGAAUCUUUGAACGCACCUUGCGCUCGUUGGUAUUCCGACGAGCAUGCCUGUUUGAGUGUCAU